UGAGUUGCAGAGGAUCAGGUUUGCUGG
RNAcentral lists this non-coding RNA (27 nucleotides) under Mus musculus (house mouse). Lineage: Eukaryota; Metazoa; Chordata; Mammalia; Rodentia; Muridae. The record is from RNAcentral.